UGGGGAAUAUUGGACAAUGGGCGGAAGCCUGAUCCAGCCAUGCCGCGUGUGUGAAGAAGGCCUUUUGGUUGUAAAGCACUUUAAGCGAGGAGGAGGCUCUUCUAGUUAAUACCUAGGAUGAGUGGACGUUACUCGCAGAAUAAGCACCGGCUAACUCUGUGCCAGCAGCCGCGGUAAUACAGAGGGUGCGAGCGUUAAUCGGAUUUACUGGGCGUAAAGCGUGCGUAGGCGGCUGAUUAAGUCGGAUGUGAAAUCCCUGAGCUUAACUUAGGAAUUGCAUUCGAUACUAGUCAGCUAGAGUAUGGGAGAGGAUGGUAGAAUUCCAGGUGUAGCGGUGAAAUGCGUAGAGAUCUGGAGGAAUACCGAUGGCGAAGGCAGCCAUCUGGCCUAAUACUGACGCUGAGGUACGAAAGCAUGGGGAGCAAACAGG
This 430-nucleotide ribosomal RNA is filed under the name Pseudomonadota bacterium. RNAcentral describes it as "Proteobacteria bacterium partial 16S ribosomal RNA". It matches the Rfam family "Bacterial small subunit ribosomal RNA", at positions 355 to 776 of the family's 1533-position model. The record is from RNAcentral. Lineage: Bacteria; Pseudomonadati; Pseudomonadota.